Long non-coding RNA from Sander lucioperca (pikeperch), 175 nucleotides. RefSeq lists it as uncharacterized. The record is from RefSeq and is a predicted model, not a curated record. Lineage: Eukaryota; Metazoa; Chordata; Actinopteri; Perciformes; Percidae. The transcript is spliced from 3 exons.
AUGUCAAGGUCAAGGUCCCAACCAUUUGUCUUCUUAAAAUACUGGCAAAUUCAGCACCAUAUUCACAUGUCCAUGGCAUAUGAAGCUGUUGGCUCUGCUGAAAUGGCCUCAUAAUCUGGACUUCAAUUGUGUUAUUGUUAUUAAACUUUCCCAGUAUUCCAUUAAAACUCACUGU